This 292-nucleotide ribosomal RNA is filed under the name uncultured bacterium. RNAcentral's name for it is "partial 16S ribosomal RNA". It matches the Rfam family "Bacterial small subunit ribosomal RNA", at positions 505 to 796 of the family's 1533-position model. The record is from RNAcentral.
GUGCCAGCAGCCGCGGUAAUACGUAGGUGGCAAGCGUUGUCCGGAUUUAUUGGGCGUAAAGCGCGCGCAGGCGGUCCGUUUAGUCCGAGGUGAAAUCUCUCGGCUCAACCGGGAUAGGUCUUUGGAUACUGGCGGACUUGAGGAGAGCAGAGGUGAGUGGAAUUCUGGGUGUAGUGGUGAAAUGCGUAGAUAUCCAGAGGAACACCAGCGGCGAAGGCGGCUCACUGGGCUCCACCUGACGCUGAGGCGCGAAAGCGUGGGUAGCGAACCGGAUUAGAUACCCCGGUAGUCC